GACCGGCGCAAGGGUGCGUAACGCGUGAGCAACAUGCCCGUAUCAGGGGAAUAAUCCAGGGAAACUUGGUCUAAUACCCCAUAGUAAAUAUUAAAGGCAUCUUUAAUAUUUUAAAGCUUUGGUGGAUACGGAUUGGCUCGCGUGACAUUAGCUAGGUGGUAAGGUAACGGCUUACCAUAGCUACGAUGUCUAGGGGUUCUGAGAGGAAGAUCCCCCACACUGGAACUGAGACACGGUCCAGACUCCUACGGGAGGCAGCAGUGAGGAAUAUUGGACAAUGGAUGGAAAUCUGAUCCAGCCAUGCCGCGUGCAGGAAGACGGCCCUAUGGGUUGUAAACUGCUUUUAUAUGGGAGCAAUAAGGCCUACGAGUAGGUUGAUGAGAGUACCAUAUGAAUAAGCACCGGCUAACUCCGUGCCAGCAGCCGCGGUAAUACGGAGGGUGCAAGCGUUAUCCGGAUUUAUUGGGUUUAAAGGGUGCGUAGGCGGUUUGAUAAGUCAGCGGUGAAAUAUUUCAGCUUAACUGGAAGGGUGCCGUUGAUACUGUCAGGCUUGAAUUUAGUUGCUGUGGGUGGAAUGUGUGGUGUAGCGGUGAAAUGCAUAGAUAUCACACAGAAUAUCGAUUGCGAAGGCAGCUCACAAAGCUAACAUUGACGCUGAUGCACGAAAGUGUGGGGAUCAAACAGGAUUAGAUACCCUGGUAGUCCACACUGUAAACGAUGAUAACUCGCUGUCGGCGAUACAUAGUCGGUGGCCAAGCGAAAGCGAUAAGUUAUCCACCUGGGGAGUACGACCGCAAGGUUGAAACUCAAAGGAAUUGACGGGGGCCCGCAC
RNAcentral lists this ribosomal RNA (832 nucleotides) under uncultured bacterium. RNAcentral's name for it is "bacterial SSU rRNA". It matches the Rfam family "Bacterial small subunit ribosomal RNA", at positions 93 to 926 of the family's 1533-position model. The record is from RNAcentral.